Molecule: non-coding RNA, 1618 nt
Organism: Misgurnus anguillicaudatus (oriental weatherfish)
Lineage: Eukaryota; Metazoa; Chordata; Actinopteri; Cypriniformes; Cobitidae
Source: RefSeq, a predicted model, not a curated record
CGUCAGGACGAGAUGUUGUCAUUUUGUCUUCUCUUCUGCCCGCAUAGAGAUACGGUGGCUAAAGGCGUUAUUAAAGUUGCUCAUCCAAGCGCCCUCAUGUUUGUUCGUACCAAUUUUAAUGGACGGGAAGCCGACUGACGAACAUCUUUUUCCCGAGAAAUGGUUCGGCUACGACACAUGUUAAGAAGUCACGCCAGGGGCUGAAUUAAGGUCGACCGUUUCAGCUGCAUUGAUGUGAAGUGAUGCAGUGGACAACUUGUGAGGGUGAUACCAUCCACAUGCACCUUAACUGUCUGUGAUGCAGAAAUACAAUAGGAUGAUCAAUCUGUCUACACUUCAAAAUCACAACUCAACCUUAAACAACCCAUAUCUGUUAUGGUAAAACAAUGUGGCGGUUUUCCAGACAGGGCUUAUACUGUUCCUGGGCUAAAAUGCAUGUUUGAGCUACUGUAAUUAAGAAAACACCUUGUACUGACACAUCUCAACAUAUAUCAUUGCCAUUGUUUUGUUUCAAGAUGCACACCAGUCUUGUUUUUGUAAGGUUUGUUUGUAAAAACUAAAAUGUUCUAAUAUAAGUGCCCAGUCCUGGUUUAAUCUAAACCAUUGGUGACCAAACCUGUGUCUUGAGAUCUACUGUCCUGCAGAGUUCAGCUCCAAUCCAAAUCAAACACACCUGAACCUGCCAAUCAAGCAUUUCAGGGGAACCUUAAAAUUAUAGUCAGGUGUGUUUGUUAAAGCUGGGUUAGAACUAAAAUAUGCAGGAGGGUAGAUCUCCAGGAACAGGGUUGGUCACCCCUGAUCUAAACAAAGGGUUUCCAAACUGUGUCCUGCAAAGUUUAGCUCUAACCCUAAUCAAACACACCUGAAGCAGCCAAUUAAGGUCUUACUAAGCAUACUAGAAACUUACUGGCAGGUGCUCCGAUGCAAGUUAGAGCUAAACUCUGCAGGACACCGGCCCUCCAGGACUGAGUUUGGGCACCCCUGACUAAGCCCUGCCUGGGAAACUGCACCAAUGUGUUGAGCUGGCACCAUUGGACAUUACUGCUGCUGAGAAACAACAACAUUUCUCAGCUCUACACAGGGUUGACAUUGGAUGCAUUAUUAUUAUAAAAUGCAUUCAUGUGCACUUUACCAAUACUGUACAUACAUCAACAGCUUCCAGCUAUGCACUCCUGAUGACUCUCAUAAUGCUGUGUUAUAAUUUAUUGCAGGGUGAUCUUGCUGAAAGGAUAUUUUUAUAAACCUUUACAAUGUGACCAGAUGUUACCUGUUGUGCAUAGUUAUUUUUAUAAACCUUUACAAUGUCGCCAGAUGUUACCUGUUGUGAAUAGUUAUUUUUAUAAACCUUUACAAUGUCACCAGAUGUUACCUGUUGUGAAAAGUUAUUUUUAUAAACCGUUACAAUGUCACCAGAUGUUACAUGUUGUGAAUGGUUAUUUUUAUAAACCUUUACAAUGUCACCAGAUGUUACAUGUUGUGAAUGGUUAUUUUUAUAAACCUUUACAAUGUCACCAGUUGUUACAUGUUGUGCAUAGUUAUUUUUAUAAACCUUUACAAUGUCACCAGAUGUUACCUGUUGUGAAAAGUUAUUUUUAUAAACCGUUACAAUGUCACCAGA